CCGUAACGGUUGCUCUGAGAUGAUCCCCGUUCACAAGACAUUUCUGCUGACGGGGCACAACAAUCUUUGCCGGGAGGUGGCGAAGUGGCAACUGGCCUUCCGUUUUCGGAUGGUCCGUCACUCGGUUUUGCGGGUCGCAUUGACCGGCUCACAGGAAAACUGUCGACGCACAUAUUACGGCCAACGAACUGCUGAAGCUUGUGCCGCUGCAAAUCCGCCUGUUGUGCUUUGAGAAAGGAUAAGACUCGCAAGGCUUCUUCGUGUGUGUAAAGGUCUCCAUUCGGAGCCGUCUUCGUGGCAAAUGGUUCAUCAGACUGAGAGGUAGCUCGAGGCAUCGCUGGCGUUUUGGGCAAGGUGGGUCCACCUUUCCAGCUCUUCUCCACCUCCAUGUUUCCGUGACAGUUAAUUGCCGGGGAGCCUGUUCGCGUCGUUUGGUAAAUUUGCUCAUCCCAGCAUUUCUGUUUUGCGUCAUCCAGCAGAAUCGGUGCUACCGAAUGUUGAUCUAGUCUUCUCGACGCGUGUCGCUGCAACUCUGUUUCACCUGUUGCUUGCCAUUGCAAGCGCGGGGACAUGUCGUCUCGGUUUCGAAUUGAGUCUUUUUGUCGACGUUCGGGGGUUCUGUUGACUUUUGUUUCUGCACCCUGUUUAUCGGCGAGAGUUGCUGGGAGCUGAAACUGCUUCCACGUCUGGUUAGGUGCCAACUCAGUCGUCACAUCGUAUCUAUCGCACGUGAGCUUGUCGGAGAGAGAAGUGUUCAGAUAUUUAUCCGUAGGGCAACCGGCGAAUGCAGCCGCUGUGAAUUCAUCGGUACAGGAAGAAGGGUAGUACCCCGUUGCUGGCGGUGAUGCGGUGUGCACAUGGGAGUCCUUUGUUGUAACCAAAAACGAUCGUAAUGAUCCCACUAUCUUUCUUUCGAGUGGGAUACGGUGUCGGAACUGGUCUUCUGACGACUGCAGCUUCUCCAGGAUCUCUUCUAGCUCACUCUCUAACGUUUUAUGAAAGGAUUCCUGCUUGUGGCUCGUUUGCUGCCGUCGUAUGAUUCCAGUAGCUUCCGGAGUCGCUUCUCCACUUUGUCUUCCCAUUGAUGGGGUUCUCCUGAGAUGGUGAUCAGGGUUGUAACAAGCCAUAUGAUCCUCGGACUUCCCUUCCUUAGCCACACUGUGUACGGGGAAACACGACAUGUUUUGUUCUUCUGCGGGUCCUGUGUCUUCUCUGAACAGAGCCGCAGAUAUGUGUUGCCCCAGCCGACAUUCCCUUGUACCGUCUAGAGGCUUCGGAGCCGUAUUGCGGUUCUGCGGAAAUGUGCCCUGAAUCACGGUGGUCUUCUGCGCCUCGACAGUGUCUCGCGGUUGCGGUUUGUUGUGGCUUUCUGCCUGGAGCGUCCCAUGCUCUGUGUUGUCUGUGUGCUGCCGAGUCGCUCCUGGACCAAGCGAUUCAUCCUUGUGUCUCUCUCUGACGGUUGUGUCCUCACCAUUCAGCACAAGUACGUGUGCCUCUUGCCGCCGGAUGUUGCUCUCGUUACGCUGUACAGGUUUGACCCCAUCUAAAUCACUAAAGCUGUCUCCCUUCUCAUUUGCACGCGACAACUGCGAUACGCUUUGGCUUUCUGCUCCGUUCGCCAUUUCUACUGUAUGCACACAAACCAUUCUCUUUCUCAGCGGAGCUCCCUUCAGGAAAUCCAUGUCUGCAGAGCAGAAAGAGAACCAUGGAGUUUUUGUUUCCCUCGCUUCAGGGUGUUCUGUCGGUCCGUCGCUACGGUGGUGUUCCUCGUUUUCCGUUGGAAGACCGGCGUAAUUCGAAGACCCAGACGAAGAUCCUUUAUUCUCUAUGCGUUUGGCUGUCUUGCACUGGGGAACACAAAUGACUUUUGGGUCUCUUGCCGUUGUGUGAGAUACCGGGGUUGUUAUACUUUGUGCCUUUAGAAAGGGAACAGAGGGGCCGGAAUCAAUUUCAACACCGCUCGAUGAGGGCUUAGCAGCUUCCGGUAGACUUCUGACCACACCCCCGCUGUUCUGACAUCGUCCUGUACCAUGCGGAGCCAAAGGGAUGCACACUGCUCUGCCUGAUAGAGCUUGUUUGCCCAUAAGACGUGGCACUUUCGAUGUCUGGGCACAAAAAGAUUCCUGUGUGUGGCGGUAGCCCCUUUUUUUUGAAACAUGCUGCGAGGCAAGCGCACUCACAGCUCUUUCUCCUAUCGCAGUUUCACCGCCUGACCGCGUCUUCUGUGCCUCCUCGUCCUGUUUGUGCGAUAUCACAGCCCAUAUAGGCUUUGCUGUGCUCCUGUUGCGAUCGUCGGUUUCAGUGUCCUGUUCGAACCCGAGUCCGGUCCAAGGUGUAUUACAAAACGGGUUGCGGUUCCGGGAACCACUGCACUGGUGAAUUUGAGUAGUAUUUUGGGGAAAACGAGAUUCCGCCCGUUGUGUUUCUCUUCCCUCGACAAAACACAUGCUCUGCUCCAGCAAGGGAGCCG
This 2470-nucleotide long non-coding RNA is filed under the name Toxoplasma gondii VEG. Lineage: Eukaryota; Apicomplexa; Conoidasida; Eucoccidiorida; Sarcocystidae. The record is from RNAcentral.